This 1161-nucleotide long non-coding RNA is filed under the name Trifolium pratense (red clover). Its description in RNAcentral is "long non-coding RNA (TPRA_LNC014390)". Lineage: Eukaryota; Viridiplantae; Streptophyta; Magnoliopsida; Fabales; Fabaceae. The record is from RNAcentral.
UGGAAGAUUAAAUUUAGUUGAAUUAGAUCAUGUAAUUCAAGACUGUUUGGAUUUGUUGUCUAAAUACAACUUCUAGAAUAUAUAUUUACUACUAUAAGGCAUCUAAUUUCAAUCAUAUACUAGUGUGGUUCAUCUUAGGAGAACUAUGAAUGCUGCUGCACAUGCCUUAGUUGGUAUAGCUUAGGCUUUAGAAGUUUAAACACAAAUUGCAAACCACCCCUAGAAAAACCAGUACACCAAUCACCGUAACAUAGUGGAAAAACCAGAUCUUUCCCAACGGCAAAAAAAACGCAGACAUUGCACAAACAUCUUCAAUUCCGCAUAACUGACGCGUACACAUUACUUCUGCAUCACCGACGAAUACAUAUUAUAGUAACGAUGGUCCUCUUGUUUUGGACUCAAUUAAACUACUCAGCCAUAAUAAUUAUAAUAAUAGUAAACAAAGCAAUAUUCAUUAUUUUCAUUAUACUGGUGCAGGAAACAAUUAAUUAAUAAAGUAGUAACAAUAAAACGCACGCACUGUAGCAGUAUUCACAAUUUGGNNNNNNNNNNCGAUCAAAUUAAUUUGAAACAAUAAUCAAUUGUAACAAGUAAACAAGGUAAACACGGUGCUGUAUCAAAAUAACAGGACGAUGAACAAUUUUGCAAAUUUAAUUUUCAAUUUUGCAAAUCAAUUUUUAACGUAAAUCAAUUUGCAAAAUAACAGGUCUUCUAACUUAAAUCAAUUUUGCAAAUUUAAUUUUCUCAGACAUCUAUAACGUAAGCAUAUAACAUAACCAUACCUUAAUAACCACGGUUUGAGUUGUGACGGCAGGACGAUGAACAAGUACGACUUCCAAAAAAUUGAAUUGUUGAGUAUAUGGUGGAGAGAAGAGGAUUUAUGGGUUAUGGGUUGGGCUCACAGUGAUUUCUGGGUUCUUGAAGAUUAGGGUUAACAGUUGGGUUCAUGCAAUUAGAUUGGAGGAAGAUGAACAGGAACAUUUUCUAUGGAUCGUGAAUAUUAAGGAUUUCUAUUGAAUUCGAUUUCCAAUAUUAGGGAUUUGAGGAUCGUGGAUUUGAGGAUCGUGGGUUAAGAUUUUUGCAAAGCAACUGAUCGCGGGAAAACAAAAUCCUUCACCGUGUAUACUGAAAUCUGAUCUUUGUUUUUAUUUUUAAUUUUUU